CAGGUUAACUACCAGCUCACUCUCCGCUAGCUAGAGCAUAUACACACAGCUAUAGCUGUAGUAUAUACUGAAAAGGAUUUAUUUGUUAAUUUGUUGGAACAUGGCAAUGCCACAUAUAGCUAGAGAAUCAUACUGUUAGGGUUAUCAUAUAUGUAUACAGGACCCCAACACUCGCUACCCGGUGGUGGUGCGGUUCAACAAGGUGAACUACGCCGGCGUGUCCACCAACAACUACGCCUUGGACGAGGUCCAGGAGGUGAAUGAACAAAAGUGAGGCCGGCUCAAGGGGCUCCCCGGCCCGCGCGCGCUAGCUAGCUCCCGUGUGAUGAUUUGUAGUUGUGAAAUGAGGCUGUGAAGCUGCAUGCUGUGCUAGCUAGCGUCACAAACAUCGAUCUUAUGUGUAAUAGCUUAAUCUCCAUAAUCAUCAUGUAAUUGCUUGCUUCAUUCACCGUGGACUCAAUAAUCUCUCUUGCUCUAAAAUUAUAUUGCUGUAUUCUUUUUUUUUGUUCUUGUGAUUUUGUAUGCAUGCACAUAAAUCUCUCUCUGGCACCAUAUAUAUUUGUGGCUCUGCUAAAAACUCACUUGUGCAGUCAUAUGCUAGCUAUUUAAUUAUAUAUACCGGAGUUCAUACAGCAUAUAUAGCAGAUCAAUUAUUUGCAACUGUAGCAAUAUGACAAACAGAUGGGGGAAAAGAUUUCUCAACCUUGGUACAACAUGGGGAACAGUUUAGUAUAUUAGAGGACAUAACAUGCAUAACAUGGGGAAUAGCUUUAACAGUUUAGUUACGAAUUGAACAAAAUCAGCAUCCCCAAAUAACUUCACAUGUCCAGUUCUAUAUAUAUAUAUAUAUCGUCUGAGUUUGUUUUCAAAUGUUGUCAAACAAUUAACAUACAUGGA
Molecule: long non-coding RNA, 897 nt
Filed under: Sorghum bicolor (sorghum)
Lineage: Eukaryota; Viridiplantae; Streptophyta; Magnoliopsida; Poales; Poaceae
Description: long non-coding RNA (SBIC_LNC002317)
Source: RNAcentral